CCUACGGGUGGCAGCAGUGAGGAAUAUUGGUCAAUGGUCGUGAGACUGAACCAGCCAAGUCGCGUGCGGGAGGAAGGUACAGUGUAUCGUAAACCUCUUUUGUCAGGGAACAAAGACUGGGACGCGUCCCCGUUUGAGUGUACCUGAUGAAAAAGCAUCGGCUAAUUCCGUGCCAGCAGCCGCGGUAAUACGGAGGAUACGCGCGUUAUCCGGUUUUAUUGGGUUUAAAGGGUGCGCAGGCGGUAUGUUAAGUCAGCGGUCAAAGCCCGGGGCUCAACCCUGACCCGCGGUUGAAAAUGGCAGUCACGAGUGGGAGAGAAGUAUGCGGAAGGCGCGGUGUAGCGGUGAAAUGCAUAGAUAUCGCGCAGAACUCCGAUUGCGAAGGCAGCAUGCCGGCUCCACACUGACGCUGAGGCACGAAAGCGUGGGUAUCGAACAGGAUUAGAUACCCGGGUAGUC
RNAcentral lists this ribosomal RNA (459 nucleotides) under uncultured bacterium. RNAcentral's name for it is "partial 16S ribosomal RNA". It matches the Rfam family "Bacterial small subunit ribosomal RNA", at positions 338 to 795 of the family's 1533-position model. The record is from RNAcentral.